Molecule: unclassified non-coding RNA, 353 nt
Filed under: Hevea brasiliensis (rubber tree)
Lineage: Eukaryota; Viridiplantae; Streptophyta; Magnoliopsida; Malpighiales; Euphorbiaceae
Source: RNAcentral
GUUUGUCACAUCCACAAUAUCAUCGAUGUGGUUACACAUGGCGACAAACAAAUCAAAGAACAAUUUCCCACCCAUCUCCAUUUCCAUCUGCAUCGUGCCACUGCGCUUGAAUGUCUUCCGGCUGCGGAUAAUCAGCGCUAGGUAAUGAGCGCGCAACCGCGAGUCACUGUCGGGCGUGUUCUCGUAGGCGUACCGCGCAGAGCGCAGAAUCACGCCGACCUCGAUCCCGCUCUGCAGGCCCUGUUUCUUCAGGGAGAGCCGCUUUAGCUCUUCGAGGCCAUAGCGAUCUGCGGCACAAUACACGGCCGUGUCACGGAGAAUAACGUCACCCACGCCCGAGUGGAAGAUUGUCG